GAGCGCGCGUGGCUGACGUCAUUGUGGAGCGCCGUGGGCUCUCAGUUGGCGGCGGAUUCAAACGGCUGAACGCAGUCUCCGGGACCCAGGCGGCGUUAGAGCGUUAUAGUUCUCCUUACUUCCUCAGUGUUGGUUAGCUUGAACAGACCUCGAGAGGACCUCGGCAGCUGAGGCGGCUGGUGCCCGAGCUGGAGAAUGGCGCUUUCGACCACGGUCUCCCAGAGGAAGCAGAUCAAGCGGAAGGCUCCCCGAGGCUUUCUCAAGCGCGUCUUCAAACAACGGAAGCCUCACCUUCGUCUGGAGUCGCGUGGAGAUUUACUGGUGAGAGUUCAUCCUUUCUCAGCUGGGAGUGGGC
RNAcentral lists this long non-coding RNA (355 nucleotides) under Marmota monax (woodchuck). The record is from RNAcentral. Lineage: Eukaryota; Metazoa; Chordata; Mammalia; Rodentia; Sciuridae.